GAUGAACGCUGGCGGCGUGCCUAAUACAUGCAAGUCGAGCGAACAGACGAGGAGCUUGCUCCUCUGCCGUUAGCGGCGGACGGGUGAGUAACACGUGGAUAACCUACCUAUAAGACUGGGAUAACUUCGGGAAACCGGAGCUAAUACCGGAUAAUAUAUUGAACCGCAUGGUUCAAUAGUGAAAGACGGUUUUGCUGUCACUUAUAGAUGGAUCCGCGCCGCAUUAGCUAGUUGGUAAGGUAACGGCUUACCAAGGCAACGAUGCGUAGCCGACCUGAGAGGGUGAUCUGCCACACUAGAACUGAGCCACGGUCCAGACUCCUACGGGAGGCAGCAGUAGGGAAUCUUCCGCAAUGGGCGAAAGCCUGACGGAGCAACGCCGCGUGAGUGAUGAAGUUCUUCGGAUCGUAAAACUCUGUUAUUAGGGAAGAACAAAUGUGUAAGUAACUAUGCACGUCUUGACGGUACCUAAUCAGAAAGCCACGGCUAACUACGUG
RNAcentral lists this ribosomal RNA (497 nucleotides) under uncultured bacterium. RNAcentral's name for it is "partial 16S ribosomal RNA". It matches the Rfam family "Bacterial small subunit ribosomal RNA", at positions 28 to 507 of the family's 1533-position model. The record is from RNAcentral.